AUGGUCAGGUGUAUUAAUGUGUUAUGGAAAAUACUGCAAUUUACAACAAAUCUGUUAGAUGUAGUUUUUCAGAGUAUGGAAGUUAUUUACUAACCAAUGUUUUACAUCAUUCUCAUUAUAGAACAAAAAUCUAUGUUGACAAAGAGCUAAAUAAACUGCUUACCGUGGGCUAGAUGACUGUAUUUACUUCUUAAAGUUUCUGGUUCUAUCUGCUUUUGUUCUGCAGCUUUCUCUUGUAUUUCUGGCUUCUAAAAGGUUGGUGCUGUAGUUUGAUCCCCUUCUCGUCUGCUAAUCCGAAGAGUCAGGAGUAAUGAGGUUGUAUUUACAGCCUGCACCAGUACUAAUGGACUAGGUGUGGUCAGAGACCAAUUAUUAUAUAUGACAUAGACCCUUUGCUUUCUCUGUGCUGACAGCACAACAGUACAGAACAAUCCAACCAUUGGCAGUGCCAUAAAUCCUGGGAGAUUUUUGAUGUGAACAAUAUAUUGUAUAUUUUAAAAUGCGUUAAACUCCCCGCCUCCCAGUUGUGUCAUCUAACACUGUGUUUUUGUAAAUAUCCUUUAUUUUUUCUACAUCAGAUCUUAGGCUCAUCUCCUUCCUCUUAUUUCACCAGACAGUUUCCUAUAUUUCUGGAGACUUUAUUGUGCAUAUUCUGCUUUUUGUAUAAUUUUCUGCUCUUAACAGCCUUGUUCUCACAGAGGGACCAUUAAAGAAGGAGGAGGAUGAUACUGGAGUGGAACUGGGGAAUCUCUUAAGAUCAACAGGACACGACCAGAUGGAUGCCUGUAGAUCUAGUUAGGCCCUGUUAUCGAAAGUGAUGGAUGAAGGUGCUGAGUAUUGAUUCCAAUAAUUUGGGAAAUCAGCCCACUAUUCUGUAAUAAGAUAUAAGGUGUCAGUGUGACAGCUGCUUUAUUGUUGGGGAGCUCACGCAUACCUAAGGGCAAGCGCCUCCCCUCUCUUGAACUGGACUACAGCCUGGGCUUGAGCCUGCAAGGUGCCAUGGCUAGCAAAGCACGCAGGCACGUACUGUGGUACCACUGAAAUCAAUGAGACUAAGUACAUGGUUAAAGUUAAGUCUGGGUUUAAGUGCUUUGCUGUGUCAAGCAAAUGUGCUCAGUACCUGGUGGGAAUGUCUGUUCUAAAGUGCUGCAUGUUUGCCCAGGUUUCUGGGCCCAAGCUAUUACAAUUACUCCGCAUCUGAAUGAAUUUCCAGUAAAAUGCUCUGCUAUUUUUCUAGUUAAAGCAGCAGCAAAUCUAGCCGGGUCUGAUGGUGAGCUUGAAAAAAACACCUAGAUUCUCUUUCUUAAGAGACAAACAUUUUAGACUGGUUUGAACGUGACCGCCAGCUGCGUUAGUAACACUGGACUACAGCUCAUUAUGAAUUCAGGGAAGCUCAGUGAAUCACUGAGAAUAAUUAAUCCAGCUCCCCUAAACUCAGGGGGUGUCAAGCACCCUCUGGGCUUGAAAUGGGGGCUAAUGAUACUCAGCAAUUCUCAUGUAGGAUGCCUAGUGCGGCCACUAUGGGCUUGUCUUGUGGCCACAGGCUCCUGGGCAGUGAUGCGGGGGGUGCAAAGCAGUGGUCCCUCUCACAGGGCCACCAGCAGGGGUUGGACCCUGCUCCCCUCUGGAGAGACAAAUGCUGGAGGAGAAGACAGCUAGUGAGUUCCCCACCUGCCUGGGGACCCAUGGUGGGCAACCUGCAGCCCACACAUGGCCCCUCAGGCUAAUCCACUAGCAGGCUGCAAGGCCGUUGGUUUACACUGACCGUCUGAAGGCACAGCUCCCAGUGGCCCUAGUCCUCCCUCAAACAAUGCAGCCCUUUCACAGCAUUGAAGCAGAGUAGCCAGCUCUGGCAAUGAUGCAGGAGGCAGAAUGGAAUGCAGCUCAGACAGUCUCACGGCCCAGCAGCAGAUUGCUCUGAUGGGCUACGUGCGGGCUGCAGGUUGCCUACCACUGCUGGGGAUGGUAGGGUUAGGGUCCAGCUCCAGGGUGGUGGGCAGCAGGCUCUGGCCAUGGGGCUCCAACCCCUAGCUGUGGGGGCUCACAUCCCUAUCACCCCUGCUGGCCCAUCAUGUCUCAUCCACCCCCCAUUCCAGCACUUGCCCCCUACUGACCUCCCCAUCUAAGGCUUAAUUUGUCCCCAGGCCUGAGUAAGUCUGCUGCUGUGAAAAGUGAUAUCAGUAUGUUGGUUAAUAACACUCUUCCCAGCAGGAGACUUACUAACUAGCAAGUCUUUUUAAAAAAGCAAACAAAAAAGCCAAGAACCCACAGAGCACCUUUUCUAUUCUAUUUAGGGCCAGUAAAGAAUAGCAACAACUACGUUAUUUUUAUUAUUGAGUCUGCAAAAAGAUUCAAUGCAUUACAGUGAUUUGGAUAUGUGUAUGUGCAUGUGCCUAUUUAGGAAAAAUAAAUCACGUUAAAUAGUUUAGGAAAAAUUUGUCACUGCGGCCA
Mauremys reevesii (Reeves's turtle) is the source of this 2451-nucleotide long non-coding RNA. RefSeq lists it as uncharacterized. The record is from RefSeq and is a predicted model, not a curated record. NCBI's taxonomy places the organism in Eukaryota, Metazoa, Chordata, Testudines, Geoemydidae. The transcript has 3 exons.